RNAcentral lists this ribosomal RNA (399 nucleotides) under uncultured bacterium. RNAcentral's name for it is "bacterial SSU rRNA". It matches the Rfam family "Bacterial small subunit ribosomal RNA", at positions 64 to 507 of the family's 1533-position model. The record is from RNAcentral.
GAGCGGGUGUAGCAAUACACCAGCGGCAGACGGGUGAGUAACGCGUGGGAACGUACCUUUUGGUUCGGAACAACCCAGGGAAACUUGGGCUAAUACCGGAUAAGCCCUUACGGGGAAAGAUUUAUCGCCGAAAGAUCGGCCCGCGUCUGAUUAGCUAGUUGGUGAGGUAAUGGCCCACCAAGGCGACGAUCAGUAGCUGGUCUGAGAGGAUGAUCAGCCACAUUGGGACUGAGACACGGCCCAAACUCCUACGGGAGGCAGCAGUGGGGAAUAUUGGACAAUGGGCGCAAGCCUGAUCCAGCCAUGCCGCGUGAGUGAUGAAGGCCCUAGGGUUGUAAAGCUCUUUUGUGCGGGAAGAUAAUGACGGUACCGCAAGAAUAAGCCCCGGCUAACUUCGUG